RNAcentral lists this long non-coding RNA (429 nucleotides) under Daphnia pulex (common water flea). RNAcentral describes it as "uncharacterized LOC124205159". Lineage: Eukaryota; Metazoa; Arthropoda; Branchiopoda; Diplostraca; Daphniidae. The record is from RNAcentral.
AACCUAAAACUCAUGUUUGAAGCUCACAUAUAGUGGAAUACAAAUCUGCCGAGUUAAGGACUUUUCUGAAUCUCACAAUUUUGGUGGUGUAACCUGCAACAUCAUGUUUGCUGUGAUGGCUGUUUCUAUUUCUGUUUAGAAGGCAUCCCACUGAGAGAUAGUUUCAGUGACAUGAAGAGUGUCAUGUGAAUAAUGCUGUGUGUAUGCAUACAUGUUCGAGUUCUGCUUGACGCCUUAUUAAAUUCAUCACCCAUAUGAUAAAGCAUCAGGAAAUUUAUCUCAACAUGAGGAGUAAGACUGUUUGUUCCUGUGAUUUCCAUUUUUACGGUUUUUUCAUCAUGAUAAUUGAAGUGUGCUUCUUAGAAAAGAGCACACAGUAUCUUUAUGGAAUCGUGUGGUCCUGGCACGGAGAUUCUUGUGCCAAUGCUG